UGGGGAAUAUUGCACAAUGGGGGAAACCCUGAUGCAGCGACGCCUCGUGAACGAAGAAGGUAUUCGUAUCGUAAAGUUCUGUCCUAUGGGAAGAUAAUGACAGUACCAUAGAAGAAAGCUCCGGCUAAAUACGUGCCAGCAGCCGCGGUAAUACGUAUGGAGCGAGCGUUGUCCGGAAUUAUUUGGCGUAAAGGGUACGCAGGCGGUUUAAUAAGUCGAAUGUUAAAGAUCGGGGCUCAACCCCGCAAAGCAUUGGAAACUGAUAAACUGGAGUAGUGGAGAGGAAAGUGGAAGUCCUAGUGUAGUGGUGAAAUACGUAGAUAUUAGGAGGAAUACCAGUAGCGAAGGCGACUUUCUGGACACAAACUGACGCUGAGGUACGAAAGCGUGGGGAGCAAACAGG
RNAcentral lists this ribosomal RNA (403 nucleotides) under bacterium. Its description in RNAcentral is "partial 16S ribosomal RNA". It matches the Rfam family "Bacterial small subunit ribosomal RNA", at positions 355 to 776 of the family's 1533-position model. The record is from RNAcentral.